Molecule: ribosomal RNA, 424 nt
Filed under: Prevotella melaninogenica
Lineage: Bacteria; Pseudomonadati; Bacteroidota; Bacteroidia; Bacteroidales; Prevotellaceae
Description: bacterial SSU rRNA
Rfam family: Bacterial small subunit ribosomal RNA
Source: RNAcentral
AUUGAGUGCUUGCACUCUUUGGACGUCGACCGGCGCACGGGUGAGUAACGCGUAUCCAACCUUCCCAUUACUGUGGGAUAACCUGCCGAAAGGCAGACUAAUACCGCAUAGUCUUCGAUGACGGCAUCAGAUUUGAAGUAAAGAUUUAUCGGUAAUGGAUGGGGAUGCGUCUGAUUAGCUUGUUGGCGGGGUAACGGCCCACCAAGGCAACGAUCAGUAGGGGUUCUGAGAGGAAGGUCCCCCACAUUGGAACUGAGACACGGUCCAAACACCUACGGGAGGCAGCAGUGAGGAAUAUUGGUCAAUGGACGGAAGUCUGAACCAGCCAAGUAGCGUGCAGGACUACGGCCCUAUGGGUUGUAAACUGCUUUUGUAUGGGGAUAAAGUUAGGGACGUGUCCCUAUUGGCAUGUACCAUACGAAUA